UACAGAGGGGGCAAGCGUUGUUCGGAAUUACUGGGCGUAAAGGGCGCGUAGGCGGCCUGCUAAGUCGAACGUGAAAUCCCCGGGCUCAACCCGGGAACUGCGUCCGAUACUGGCAGGCUUGAAUCCGGGAGAGGGAUGCGGAAUUCCCGGUGUAGCAGUGAAAUGCGUAGAGAUCGGGAGGAACAUCUGUGGCGAAGGCGACUGCCUGGACCAGCACUGACACUGAGGCACGAAAGCGUGGGGAGCAAACAGG
This 253-nucleotide ribosomal RNA is filed under the name uncultured bacterium. Its description in RNAcentral is "partial 16S ribosomal RNA". It matches the Rfam family "Bacterial small subunit ribosomal RNA", at positions 524 to 776 of the family's 1533-position model. The record is from RNAcentral.